UGCUAAUACCGCAUAAGACCACGGAGUCGCAUGGCACUGGGGUAAAAGGAGCAAUCCGGUUUGGGGUGAGUUCGCGUCCGAUUAGCCAGUUGGUGAGGUAACGGCCCACCAAAGCGACGAUCGGUAGCCGACCUGAGAGGGUGAUCGGCCACAUUGGAACUGAGAGACGGUCCAAACUCCUACGGGAGGCAGCAGUGGGGAAUAUUGGGCAAUGGGCGAAAGCCUGACCCAGCAACGCCGCGUGAGUGAAGAAGGCCUUCGGGUUGUAAAGCUCUGUUAUAGGGGACGAAGGAAGUGACGGUACCCUAUAAGGAAGCCCCGGCUAACUACGUGCCAGCAGCCGCGGUAAUACGUAGGGGGCGAGCGUUGUCCGGAAUGACUGGGCGUAAAGGGCGUGUAGGCGGCCUGAUAAGUCUGGAGUGAAAGUCCUGCAUUUAAUGUGGGAAUUGCUUUGGAUACUGUCGGGCUCGAGUGCGGAAGAGGUAAGUGGAAUUCCCAGUGUAGCGGUGAAAUGCGUAGAGAUUGGGAGGAACACCAGUGGCGAAGGCGACUUACUGGGCCGUAACUGACGCUGAGGCGCGAAAGCGUGGGGAGCGAACAGGAUUAGAUACCCUGGUAGUCCACGCGGUAAACGAUGAAUGUUAGGUGUUGCGGGUAUCGACCCCUGCAGUGCCGGAGUAAACACAAUAAACAUUCCGCC
This 700-nucleotide ribosomal RNA is filed under the name uncultured rumen bacterium. RNAcentral describes it as "bacterial SSU rRNA". It matches the Rfam family "Bacterial small subunit ribosomal RNA", at positions 161 to 873 of the family's 1533-position model. The record is from RNAcentral.